RNAcentral lists this long non-coding RNA (1822 nucleotides) under Hordeum vulgare. RNAcentral describes it as "long non-coding RNA (HVUL_LNC015572)". Lineage: Eukaryota; Viridiplantae; Streptophyta; Magnoliopsida; Poales; Poaceae. The record is from RNAcentral.
CGUCAUACUAUUUGUUUCUGUAAUGUUUGUGCAGGGAGAGACUGCUAUGUAUGCUAACUACAACUCCAAUCUGAGGUAUGCUAACUACAACUCCAAUCCGAGGUAAUGCAGGGAGAGACUUGCUGCUACUACUAUGGUUUGCCGGUAAUUAGGAGUAUUUGUAUUAUUCAGUGCUAGAAUGUAAGUAGGAGUAUUUGUAUUAUUCAGUACUAGCAAAAGGGCCCGUGCGUUGCAACGGGAGAAAAAAAUACCACACGCUUUUAAUCUUUUUAUAAUCAUUUUGAUUUAUUAAAAUAAGGGGACUAAUGUAGUGAGUCCUAUCCUAUUUUGUUGAGAAAUCAACCCGUUCAUUGUUAAUUCCACCAUGAUGAGAAAUUGAGCGGGACAAACAAAGCAAAACAAAGAGGCUACGUGAAUUGAUCAAUGGACUGUUAUCUUAUUUCACUCAUGGGGUAGAGAAUGUGGGAUCAGAUGACAAACGGAAGGUGGUGUUCCAUUCUCUCUCUCUCUACAAACAACACAAUCUUACAUUCAAUACAUUCAUUCAUCAGCAAACAAAUCCCCACAAAACAAAAUUUCUUGUCGGUGCUUGGCACACGGUUGGAGGCAUGGGGAGGGGAUCUCACCAGAUGAUGAGUUCCUGUCGAAGGAGGGGAUACGAUGAGGGGAGCAAGGUUUAGGCGCCUCUAUCUGGCCAUAAGGAGUCGCCGUUGCCGCGCCAUAACCUCGAAGUUCCCUGUGUGAGCCAUGUAGGCCCGCCUCCACCUGCAAGUACUUCGCUCCACCGCGCCUUAUCCGUGCGCCGCCGCUUUUCUGCAUCUUGCACACGCAUCAUCCCCAGUCACUGUAGCUGUCACGUUGAUUUGAUCCAGAAGCUGUGCUCGAGCGCCGAAACGGGGGCAGCAAGCGGGCAGAGGUACGACCGCGGAGGCGGGUGGGUUGAGAUCGACAAUACUAGUGGUUGAGGUCGGCCGUGGCGGGGCGAGUGGUGUGGCAGCGGCCUGGGCACAUGCCAGGGUGGACCAGGGUCGACGCGAUGCGCUCGAGCGCCGCAACGGGGGCAGUGAGCGGGGAGAGGUACGGCCGCGGAGGCGGGUGGGUUGAGAUCGGCAGCGGUGUCGGUUGAGGUCGACUGCGGCGGCGAGUGGUGUGGCGGCGGCCUAGGCACAGGCCAGGGUGGCCCAGGAUCAACGGGAGGAGGCGAUGCGAACAGGUAUAAUUUUUGCAGCGAAACCUUUUUUCCUUUUGCGUUGCAGAUAAAUGAUGGAGCGCGGGUUGGAUAACAAAAAUUACAGGGGCUUUUUUAUAAAAAUAUCACGGUGGGUUUUCCGACGGAAGCAAUAGCCGCUUUAUUAUUAGGUAUAGACUAGUAUCCAGUGUGAAGAAAUUCUACUCAGUGUUUGUCUACUACUAUGGUUUGCUGGUAAUUAAAGAUCUAUCUAGGUACUUUCUGCGUGGGUCAUGCAUGCUCUGUACUUUCUUUGUUAGUAUUACCAAAUCCAUUAUUCAUAAUAGCCCCCUCGUAGGCAACUUAUGCCUUUUUUGUAUUACUACACACUCAUUUACACAUGUUUGAUGUUUCCAUCCAGUGAACCGAAAGAGCACACAAGAAAAAGCGCUCGCCCAAUCAAACAACACAAGUCUAUAUUGUAGGUUUCUCUCGUGAUGAUGCCAGCGCCUCUACUGCGUCCGCCAAUAUUUCAAUCGCAUGUGUAGGAGGAGAAGGCUUGACGCGCCGUCGGCACUGACUCUAGCGCCCAUGGAUCCGGCUACCUGCUCAUCUGAGGCAAGCACCAAGGCUUCGUAAUUUAAUUUAGUAUGA